UAGGGAAUCUUCGGCAAUGUACGAAAGUCUGACCGAGCAACGCCGCGUGAGUGAAGAAGGUUUUCGGAUCGUAAAACUCUGUUGCUAGAGAAGAACAAGGACGUUAGUAACUGAACGUCCCCUGACGGUAUCUAACCAGAAAGCCACGGCUAACUACGUGCCAGCAGCCGCGGUAAUACGUAGGUGGCAAGCGUUGUCCGGAUUUAUUGGGCGUAAAGCGAGCGCAGGCGGUUUCUUAAGUCUGAUGUGAAAUCCCCCGGCUCAACCGGGGAGGGUCAUUGGAAACUGGGAGGCUUGAGUGCAGAAGAGGAGAGUGGAAUUCCAUGUGUAGCGGUGACAUGCGUAGAUAUAUGGAGGAACACCAGUGGCGAAGGCGGCUCUCAGGACUGUAACUGACGCUGAGGAUCGAAAGCGUGGGGAGCAAACAGG
Molecule: ribosomal RNA, 429 nt
Filed under: Gemmatimonadota bacterium
Lineage: Bacteria; Pseudomonadati; Gemmatimonadota
Description: Gemmatimonadetes bacterium partial 16S ribosomal RNA
Rfam family: Bacterial small subunit ribosomal RNA
Source: RNAcentral